CCACCUACAAAUAACAGAGCAAAUCCACCACUAUUUUUGAAAACUGCUUACAAAUUCACAAAAGUUAACUUAGCUCAAAUACAGUCCGUUAUUUAUUACGCAAGACUACAGCUAAUUCUCGAGGUAUUUCACACUUUAGUGCUAACUGCGCAUCAUGCCUUUCAACUAACUCUACGCUCACCUCGAAAGAAAAAAUCUAUACUUAAUCGAAUAUAAAGACACUUACCCUACUUUUACUUAAAAAGUCGAUACUUUGCCUCAGAGAUCAUAGGUAAAAG
Molecule: unclassified non-coding RNA, 278 nt
Filed under: Aliivibrio wodanis
Lineage: Bacteria; Pseudomonadati; Pseudomonadota; Gammaproteobacteria; Vibrionales; Vibrionaceae
Description: putative sRNA
Source: RNAcentral